This 1105-nucleotide ribosomal RNA is filed under the name Triticum aestivum (bread wheat). Its description in RNAcentral is "partial small subunit ribosomal RNA". The record is from RNAcentral. Lineage: Eukaryota; Viridiplantae; Streptophyta; Magnoliopsida; Poales; Poaceae.
AUGGUUUGCAUCAUCCACAUGAUGAUCCAGUCUUGUAGCUAUACAGUAGAGGUGAAGGUUUGUGGCAGUGGAACCAAAAUCACUGGGGAUUCGAUAUUUAGUUGGCAGAUUAUUGAGGGUAGUAGGACAAGUAUGAAGGAUUUGCUGGCUUGUAUUGCCGGAAAUUUUGCUUUAUGCUCAGAGGAUAAUAUAUUUCUUGAGUACUUUGAUUCCAUUAGUGGCAAAAAUAUCUCUGUGUCAAAUGAUGAAGAAUGCAUGAAAAUGUUUGCCUGUCUUGAUCAGAAUAGAAGUGGCCAUUUGAUCAUCAAAUAUUCCGAGAGAAGUGAUAAUGUUGAUGUUCCAUGUACUCCUUCGAACCAAACACCAUCUAUAGCACUGCCUAGUCAACCAAGUAGCGUCAUUGAUGAAGCUAGUGUAUGCCUAACAGAUACAUAUCUUGACAAUCCGCAUGAAGAAUAUGAACAUGUUGGUGUAGAUGAGGAGGACCAGUACUCAAUUGGCAGUGUUGGUUCCGAUAGUGAUGAUGAGGUCAAAGAAAAAGAUAUACCAAAUAAUGAUUAUGUUGAGGAUAUCAGUGAUGAUGAGGAAUGGGUUGCAGAAGAUGCUAGACCGGAUGCUAUUCCAGAAAAUGCUUAUGACAAAGAAAACCCGCCAAUGCAUGUUGGCGCAAAGUACCCCAACAUUGAAGAGUUUAGGUUGGCAAUUGCUACAUAUGCUGUAAAGAAAGAGUUCGAAUUCAAGGUUGAAAAAAGUGAACCUACUCGAUUCAGGGCUUAUUGUCGCCGGGCAAAGAAGACGGAUUGUAAAUGGAGAAUUCAUGUUGGGAGGUUGGAUGACCAAGAAACUAUGGAGGUCAAAGUUCAUGUGCAGGAGCACACUUGUUCUAGCGCAAAGAAGAAAAAGAAGCAGAAAAAUGCUUCAAAGGCAUGGGUGUGUGAGAAAGUCAUGGACUGGGUAAAAGAAGAUCCUAGUGUUCGGCCGAUGGAGUUACGGAGGAGGCUACAUGACAAGUACAAGAUCAACGUCCAAUACAUGAAAGUAUUCCGUGGCAAAGGGCUAGCAAUGGCUAAGUUGUUUGGUAACUGGGAUGAUUCUUUUGACAAGC